ACUUUACUUUGUCAGUUCUCUUAAGACAAGAGGGCUGUAGGGUAUUUUCUUGACACGAGAUAGCUCAGCCCUCCUGAUCAAAAUUUUUUGGAAAACCAGUCUUCAUCCUUAGCUCUAUGCUGAGGGAUUGGACAGUGAGGUCAAAGUCAUUAGUCCCUGACAAAAGCCUUAGCAGCUCCCACUAAGCAUACUUGGUAGGAUUUGCUGUUGUUGCUUGUAAUUUUGGAUUAAAAGUAUUCCCUUCUCGACAACCGGGAUUUUCAGUGCAGCCUCAUCUGACUGAAUCUGGGCACAUUCGCAGGAGCAGAGAGAUCUUGUGUCACAGCAGCACAGGUGGGGGAGACCCUUGGGCACAGGGCUGCACCCUGCACAUGAGGCCCCUUUGAAAUGCAGCUUUUCCUUUAACUGUAAAGUUGAAAGGAAAAUGGAGACUGGGAAAAACAAUAUGCAUCAAAACUUAGAGACCAAAUAAUCCUUUUGUAGGAAGUAUCCAGAGAUAGCCCUGAUCAUUUCAUUUAUACCUCUUACAAUGACAAAGGUACUUGUGACAUCCAAGCUGUUCUUACAGCUUUGUUUUUCUCUGCUUGCCCAUUACAGCAUUUUCUACUCCUGAAACAGCUCCUCACUGAUUAAACUGGUGAUGUUUCACUCAGGUUUUUCACAGAAGUUAUCUCUUCUUACCCCACUCCUUUAUUUCCUGUUGGCUGUACCAAAUUUGUAUCAGAAAAAGCUGUGAACAAAUAGAUAUUCGCAUUUUAAAAUUCAUAUGUAUACUGCUUUAUCUCAUACCUACACCAGAAUAAUCUCAAACAACUUGCAUGAAUUAUAACAUGGUAUUUUUAUUUACUUUUACUAUCUGCUUAUUACCAUUUAAAAAACACACAAAAACAACAACAAAAAAAAACCCCACAAUAGAAAUAAAAGUGCAAUAAUCUAUGGGAAUGCAAAAUAUAAGUAUCUGCUUUAGAUACACAGAGGCAAAGAAAUUAAAAGAGACUUAAACUCUGAGCUAAUGUUUCAUCCCUAAUUUAUUCCCUUGUACCCAUAUAUGGAACACUCAGCACAAUGAAUCUGUGAAAAGACACAUUAAUGUGUUCUGGAACUGUGUACAAUAAAUUGAUGGGGAAUUUAAUGUAACUCUGAUCAGAGACUGGGUUAGCGGUUUCAGUGAUGAAUAAUGUCAGGCAAAUAAUUUAUAUUUUAAUUUGGGCUUUCUUUAGUUGUUUUGCUUUUAUUCAUACCCCAAAUACUUUUGGGGAAGGAGGCUUCUGCUGAGGCAUCCUAUACAAGGCACUGAAUGUUUGACAGCAGUCAGUACUUUGUGAUUUAACUGCAGUGGUAUUUCUUAAAAGUAAGAGGUCAUAUGUCACAAAGCAAUGUCAGGGUCUGAACCUCUUCUCUUAAAGAUUACUAAAAAUUGUUAAUCCCAUUUGCAACAGGAAGAAUAUACUAGUCCUAAUAUUGCAGAGUAUGUUUGUACUCAAAACAUGUUCACAAGUUCUUAUAAUUCUAUAUUCUAAGGAAGUAAAAAUAUAUUACAUAGUAUUGACAUUAAAUUGAACAGAAACUCAUGCUCUGUGAUAGAUUAUUUCCAAGAAGAAAAGCUUGUUUUUCCAAGUUCUUCCUGCCUCAAGAUUACUUUUUUAGAUUUGCUAUGAAAUAAACCAAGAUUUUUAAAGGGUGGAUAUUUGGAAAAAAAUACAGAAACAAUGUAAUCUUUCCACUGUAAAUACCCACGCUGUACUGACAAAGGAAACUAGAAGGUGCAUGCAGAAUCACUGCAAAUAAAUUGCCACAUGUGCUGUAUCUCAUAGAACUGCUGAACAGUUUUUAUUACAUUUUUGUUCAUUGGUGAUUGCUAUAGAGAUCUCUGCAUUGCAAGUAGCCACACCAUUUUAGUGCUUUGCUGUUUCAGAAGAGCAGAUUUUCUUGAUUAAUAACAAAAGGUUUUGUUGGGAUCAGAGCUGUUUCCCACCAUCUCUAUGCAAACCCGGCAACACAAACUGUGUACAUUAGCAUUUCAAGGAGCCUCCUAUUAAUGAUGGCAAGAAAAGCUUCUCUCGGUGGGUAAAAUCCAUUUUGUCCUCUCUUGUGACAUCUGUUCUAACUUUUAAAGCCAGAAAGGAAACUAGAUAAUGCCAGAGAGUCUUUUGAUUUACUGUAUUGGCACUUGUGAUGAUGCUUCAGACUAUAAAAGCAUGUAACCCUAGUGGACAUACAUGACUGUGUAAAUGUGAACAUCUGCAUAUUCCCACAACAUAGGGUGAAUUGAACAAGUAAUUCCAAAGUUCUUUGUUAAACUUUUAACUAUCUUUUCUUUUUUCAAGAUUUCAUAAUUAUACUUUCAAUUACUUCUAUGCCAUACAAAAUUCAACAUUUAAAAUUGUAUUUUUAUGUAAAUGUUUAUUGCUACAUGUGCUUUUUUAAUUAAUUUCAUUUCCCAAAAGCUUUUCUUUUUCUUACAUUUUUGUGAGUGAAGGCAUUUAAGCAAAUAGAGUUGGAGUUACUGAAACAUGGUUAAAAAAAUAAAACCCCAAACAGCGCAGAAUAAGAAAACGUAAACUAAACCCUGCAGAUUUCUUACCUCUUUACACCAUCUGUGCAGUAUUGCUCUUAGGCCUUUUACAUUGGUCAUCCUGGGAACAAAGCUGAAGGCAGAUUCCAGCAGUUUUUCCAUUCACUAUUCAUUCAGAGGUUCAUCAGCUCCAUAUGGAUCCAGCCAACUGCUGUGUUAAAUCAGAGCCUUUUCCCAGAAUUGACAUGGUAAUGAAGUCAUGGUAUUGCUCACAGAAAAGGCCUCCAUAGGUAUUUCCCUCUCUAACAAAUCCAGCCUUUUCACCCCAUUCACUCCCUAAAAUUAUCUCAUAACAUUACAACAUCUGUGAACUGGAUUUUUGCCUUUUAAUGUCUAGCAUGUUUUAUUACAUGACUAUGCAUUACGUACUGGUUAACAAGACUCCUACAUAACCAAGGACAUAAACUUGCACUCUUCCCAGCUCAGAUUGUUUCAUACCCUUUUAAUUUAUAUCUACUAUAUUUAUUUUUCUGCAGAUAGAGCUGUCCAAACUAUUGAUAUACAAAAUGAACUUUAAUUUUUUUUUCAAUCAGAAAGUGGCUUCAGAAGUAUUCCAGAAUGAAAAAUUGUUUAACCACAAAAUGGUAAAUCCAUCAAUACAAAAAUUUGCUAAAGAUAGUAUGCAUUAAUAGCAACUACGUUCUAAAAGUUUCCUUCAGUUCAUCAUAUGUAUGAGCUUUGCUUUAACAGCAAUGAUUUAAGAUUUUUAAGGAAUAAAUAUGAGAAAGUUUAUUUCUGCAAUAUUUCAUCUGCAAUAAAUAUGUAGAUACUGCCUUGAUAUGAAAACACAAGGUAGCUUUAUUGGAAAAGUAUGUCUUACAUGUAACAAUAAUGUACUUGAACAAAUGUGAUCUAUAAAAUGGGUAUCAUUACAGAUGUGAAUGUGUGCCCAAGGUUAGCCAUGUGCUGACUGAAGAGAUUGGUCUGUUACUUACAGUCAGUGUAGGUUUGUGAGAUGGUUGUGAAACAUGUUUCCCUUCUGGUUUGCAUGUAUGCUGACAUUAUUUUUCUGGUUGAGUUAGCACUGUGUUGGUAAAUUCUGGUGUUUUGGACUGGAAAGCAGAAAGAUGCAGAAAGAUAAAGUACACACAAUUCCACUUCUGCACCCCAGCAUAAGACCCAUGCAAGUGCCUCAGCCAGAGAGAAGCAGUCUGGCUUACAAACAGACAGUGGGUGCAUGGGACAAGUGACUAAAGACUCUUCUUAGAGAAACUGUCCAUGGUAUCCCUCCUGACUACUCUUACAGUGCUGGUCCCAGCACCUCAAGGCACACACAGCAGAGUUACUCCAUGUGCAGACAAGGAGUAAACUAAAAGUAAACUAAAAUUAUCAAAGGAAUAGAACAGUUGCUCUAAGAAGAAAUAAGUGACUAAAAAAUAUUAGAGUUCCAAUUUGAUGAGGAGCUAGCUGAGAGAGGGAAUAUAAGUAAGGUUUCUAGAAUCACAAAGCAGAAGUCUUCAGUAACUUUUGCAAUUCUAAAACUAGGGGUCACUUGAUGAAAUCAGUAAGUGAUUGAUUUAAAAGAGGUAAAAGCAUCUCUUUAUAAAGCACCUACUGAACUUCUGGAGCCUGCUGAUGCAGAAGGGUAAGGAGGGAAACUGCAAGUGUAGAAUCAUUAAAAAAUGAGAUAACUUGAUGGACCAUGAGUCCAUAAGCAGAUGCUGAAAGAGCUAAGCAGGGCUACAGUCUAACAUCCCUAACACAACCACUCCAGGUGUGGGAGGAAAGUGAAGAAGAAUGAAUUGCAGAAAGUGACCAGGCUAGUAUGGUCUCACUAAAUAACAUUUCCUGUUUCUGCUUUCAGAGACCACACCUGGGCAUCUGGACACUGGUCUGACCCAACUAGUGUCAUUGCAAAGUUCUGGUUUACAUCUUGUGAAUGUCAUUCAGCCACCACUCUAGAGCUUAGUGUUCAUUCUGCUGAAGCAAUGACUGCCAUACUCUGCCAAAACUGGCGUCAAACAGAGAUCUGCUAUUCAAAGUAAAGCCCUCUAAAGGUAGAUGGAGCAUAAGACCAAGUCAUAGAGAACAAGGAACUGCUUUGAAGCUGAAACUGAGAGAUAUCUUAUUUUCAUCUGACACAAAAAUUAUAGUGUCUCCAGUAUCAGAAGACACACUUUAUCAGUGAGUGAAAAUUAAUGAGUUUUUUUUUUUUUUGGGGGGGGGGGGGGCUCCAACUGAAUAUCAGAGACCACAUAUAGUCACUGACAGCAUCUGUGCUGGAUUAGUUCCUGGGAAAAAGUAUCCUUGUCUGUGCUUACUGCAGUGAGGUGCACCAUCACCAUCAUGAUUCUUGAGAUGUAUGUUACUCAGUCAAAAAGGAGCAACAAAAAAUACUGGUACAACACAUAUGCUCUUUAUGGGUGAAUUAACUACUUAUUAGUUAGAUUAGCCAAACAAACAUCUUUAAUCCUGACAUUUUUAAGCCUGUGAUGUUUAAGAAUACAAAGGUCCAAGACUGAAGAUAUUUCUUCUAUACUUGUAAUUUAAAAGGUCUAGAGUGACAGCUCCACCAGCACAGUUACUCAGAAACAUCACCCAGGGUGCACCCAAGCCUGACCUGGGAUAAAUGCCAAUAGCCCCAAGAAGAGUAAAGAAGCACUUGAUGAACAUGAACAACAUCCUUAAAAUACUUCUGGCAAUUGGGAAAAAAAAAAAA
This is a long non-coding RNA of Taeniopygia guttata (zebra finch), 5234 nucleotides long. NCBI's taxonomy places the organism in Eukaryota, Metazoa, Chordata, Aves, Passeriformes, Estrildidae. The record is from Ensembl.